RNAcentral lists this ribosomal RNA (803 nucleotides) under uncultured soil archaeon. RNAcentral's name for it is "bacterial SSU rRNA". It matches the Rfam family "Archaeal small subunit ribosomal RNA", at positions 77 to 865 of the family's 1478-position model. The record is from RNAcentral.
CUAAGCGCACAGCUCAGUAACACGUGGCCAACCUGCCCUUGGGACGGAAACACCCCCGGGAAACUGGGGCUAAUUUCCGAUAGGUGAAGACUCCUGGAAUGGAUUUUCGCUCAAAGGGCGCCUAGGGCAUGCUCCUGUGCGUUGCCCAAGGAUGGGGCCGCGGCCGAUCAGGUUGUUGGUGAGGUAAUGGCCCACCAAGCCUUUAACCGGUACGGGCCGUGGGAGCGGUAGCCCGGAGAUGGGCACUGAGACAAGGGCCCAGGCCCUACGGGGCGCAGCAGUCGCGAAAACUUCGCAAUAAGCGAAAGCUUGACGGGGCCAUCCCGAGUGCCAUCUGCUGAGGAUGGCUUUUACCCAGUAUAGAUAGCUGGGGGAAUAAGGAGAGGGCAAGUCUGGUGUCAGCCGCCGCGGUAAUACCAGCUCUCCGAGUUGUAGGGAUGUUUAUUGGGCCUAAAGCAUCCGUAGCCGGCUGGACAAGUCCCCUGUUAAAUCCAGCGACCAAUCGUUGUUCUGCGGGGGAUACUGUCCGGCUAGGGGGCGGGAGAGGCCGUCGGUAUUCUUGGGGUAGGGGUGAAAUCCUAUUAUCCCAGGAGGACCACCAGUGGCGAAGGCUGUCGGCUAGAUCGCGCCCGACGGUGAGGGAUGAAAGCUGGGGGAGCGAACCGGAUUAGAUACCCGGGUAGUCCCAGCUGUAAACGAUGCAGGCUAGCUGUUAGGUCGUUAUUGUGCCGCGCUAGUGCCGCAGUGAAUCUGUUAAGCCUGCCGCCUGGGGAUUACGACUGCGUUUCUGACCUUCAAGUUCA